AACGAACGCUGGCGGCAUGCCUAACACAUGCAAGUCGAACGAGACCUUCGGGUCUAGUGGCGCACGGGUGCGUAACGCGUGGGAACCUGCCUUUAGGUUCGGAAUAACUCCGAGAAAUUUGUGCUAAUACCGGAUGAUGUCUUCGGACCAAAGAUUUAUCGCCUUUAGAUGUGCCCGCGUUUGAUUAGCUAGUUGGUGGGGUAAAUGCCUACCAAGGCGACGAUCCAUAGCUGGUCUGAGAGGAUGAUCAGCCACACUGGGACUGAGACACGGCCCAGACUAGUACGGAAGCAGAAGGGGGGAAAAAGGGAAAAUGGGCAGAAGACUGAUGCAGCAAAGGCGCGUGAAGGAUGAAGGCCUUAAGGUUGUAAAGCUCUUUUACCCGAGAUGAAAAUGACAGUAUCGGGAGAAUAAGCUCCGGCUAAAUCCGUG
RNAcentral lists this ribosomal RNA (432 nucleotides) under uncultured bacterium. RNAcentral's name for it is "partial 16S ribosomal RNA". It matches the Rfam family "Bacterial small subunit ribosomal RNA", at positions 29 to 507 of the family's 1533-position model. The record is from RNAcentral.